CUCAGUUCGGAUUGGAGUCUGNAACCCGACUCCAUGAAGCUGGAUUCGCUAGUAAUCGCGCAUCAGCCACGGCGCGGUGAAUACGUUCCCGGGCCUUGUACACACCGCCCGUCAAGCCAUGGAAGCCGGGAGUGCCUGAAGUGCGUGAGCGCAAGCAGCGCCCUAAGGUAAAACCGGUGACUGGGGCUAAGUCGUAACAAGGUAAC
RNAcentral lists this ribosomal RNA (206 nucleotides) under uncultured bacterium. RNAcentral describes it as "partial 16S ribosomal RNA". It matches the Rfam family "Bacterial small subunit ribosomal RNA", at positions 1287 to 1500 of the family's 1533-position model. The record is from RNAcentral.